GAUGAAGAACGCAGCGAAAUGCGAUAAGUAAUGCGAAUUGCAGAAUUCAGUGAACCAUCGAAUCUUUGAACGCACAUUGCGCCCGGCAGUAAUCUGCCGGGCAUGCCUGUCCGAGCGUCAUUUCUCCCCUCGAGCGCAGCUUUCCCCCCCGGGGGAGGGCCGCGCCCGGUGUUGGGGCGCUACGGAGGAGCCCAGCGCUCCCCCGUAGGCCCCGAAAUGUAGUGGCGGUCCCGCCGCGGCGCCCCCUGCGUAGUAGUUUUACAACUCGCAUCGGGUCCCGGCGGAGGCCAGCCGUCAAACCCCCCAACUUCAAUAGUUUGACCUCGGAUCAGGUAGGGUUACCCGCUGAACUUAAGCAUAUCAAUAAGCGGAGGA
RNAcentral lists this unclassified non-coding RNA (375 nucleotides) under soil metagenome. RNAcentral's name for it is "partial contains 5.8S ribosomal RNA, internal transcribed spacer 2, and large subunit ribosomal RNA". The stretch from base 1 to 120 matches the Rfam family "5.8S ribosomal RNA", at positions 35 to 154 of the family's 154-position model. The record is from RNAcentral.